This 119-nucleotide ribosomal RNA is filed under the name Pteropus alecto (black flying fox). Lineage: Eukaryota; Metazoa; Chordata; Mammalia; Chiroptera; Pteropodidae. The record is from RNAcentral.
AUCUAUGGCCAUGCCACCCUGAACAUGCCCGAUCCCGUCUGAUCUCGGAAGCUAAGCAGGGUCGGGUCUGGUUAGUACUUAGAUAGGAGACCACCAAGGAAGACCAGGUGCUGUAGGCA